GGGGUCGUAGGGUAGCCUGGCCUAUCCUAUUGCGUUCGGGACGCAGUGACCUGAGUUCGAAUCUCAGCGACCCCA
Molecule: transfer RNA, 75 nt
Filed under: Methanomicrobiales archaeon
Lineage: Archaea; Methanobacteriati; Methanobacteriota; Methanomicrobia; Methanomicrobiales
Also listed under: 2 other names
Description: tRNA-Pro
Rfam family: tRNA
About the family: Transfer RNA (tRNA) molecules are approximately 80 nucleotides in length. Their secondary structure includes four short double-helical elements and three loops (D, anti-codon, and T loops).
Source: RNAcentral